AAGGAUUUUAACCCUCUCUUCCCUUCCCACUCCAGACAAGUUGAGAAAGCGAACAAGAAACAGAGAAAGAAAGAAGGAUUCUACAAGGGUGAGUUUUGUGCAGAGAGAGAUAGGGUGGCGACCGUAGACGCAGAAGAAGGAGGGACGCGCUCUAGUCUUCUCCAAGAGCUUCUCUCAUCACUGUUUGCAAAAGUAUUUGGCAAAAACCAAGAACAAUCCGACGAAGAAGGAGAAGAACCUGAAAUGGAGUCGAGAGCUGAUGUUCCUCAUCAACAGCUAAGAGGUUACUAACCAUCACUCUUGAUUUUGAUUUGAUUUCUUUUCUUUUCUUAUCUUUUCUUUUUCUUUUUUGGGAGUUGAAAAGGUUCUUCAAUUAACUGCAAAUAGCGUUGUGGGUUUUCUGAUUUAUUUUGGGGUCUGGUUCUGUUCUCGAUUUCUUUUAUGGUUUUUUUUCAUAUAAUAGUUGAAGACAAUUCCUUUAAGACUUAUCUCAUAGUUAUUGUUAUAAUAUAAUAAUUUCUUUCUUCAUUGAUUUUGUAUGUUAACGUUCAUUGAUUAAUUUAUAUUUCUUUUUAGAUCUGACUUUGUAGACGGAUUUUAUUUUAUGUGUUUUCUCCUAAAUUUGACAACAGGCUAUUUAAUUAUGAGCGCUGGAUUCUUGCAUUUUGAAUAUAUUUAGAGGAAUUCAUCAUUAGUUAUCUUCAAGUUCACUGUCGUUUUCCUGGAAAAUUCUUUUUCUUUCAAGUGUUUUGCAAAAUUUCCAACUGGGUUGAUUCUUGGUAUACAGAUUUCUCAAGCGAUACUUUAUCUAGUUUCCUGUUUCUUUUCUUCUUAUUUAUUUUCCCAUCAUAAAUAAUCUCCUAUCAGAUUUUGAUCAUCAAAGAAGAAAUCUUCUAAAUAUUAUGUUUUCAGUUGAUGCAUUUAUUAAAGUAUUGCUUAAUUAGCUUUUUGAGACAAUUUUUUUGUGUUCUUUUUUAUGUAUUUUGACACAACUUUUGCUGGGAGUUCUCCUUCACCAAUGUUUUUUAUCCAUGUUAUUUUUGCUUUUAGGAGAGGUGAAACAGAAGAACGUUGCAGCUGAUGGAAGGAAUAGAAGAGUACUUAAAGACAUUGGUAAUUUGGUGAAUGAUCGUGCUCUGCAAGUGAAGAAACCAGUCACAGAUGUUAGUAAUGUGGUUGGAGCUGGAAAAGGCCCUGUGGCAACAAGGGUAGCUACUAAAAAGCUAGUUGAGAAGAAGCACGUACCAGAGACGGUGAUUGUGAUAAGCUCUGAUGAUGAAAGUGAGAAGAGUAAACUUAUUGGCAGAAGAGUGUCAAAAGAAGGGUCUUCAAGAAAGGAUGUCAAAACCCUCACUUCAAUCCUGACUGCUCGGAGCAAGGCUGCAUGUGGACUUGCCAAAAAGCCAGAGCAAUCACUGGUGAACAUAGAUGCAACUGAUCUUGAAAAUGAGUUGGCAGCGGUUGAAUAUGUUGAUGAUAUCUACAAGUUUUACAAGCUCACAGAAGCUGAUUGUAGGGUGCAUGACUAUAUGCACUUGCAGCCUGACAUAAAUGCAAAGAUGAGAUCAAUUCUCGUGGAUUGGUUGGUUGAAGUUCAUCGCAAAUUUGAACUCAUGCCGGAAACUCUUUACCUUACCAUAAAUAUAAUUGAUAGAUUCCUUGCCGUAAAAGUUGUACCAAGGAGGGAACUUCAAUUGGUUGGCAUCAGCUCAAUGCUCAUUGCAUGCAAGUAUGAAGAAAUAUGGGCACCAGAGGUUGGUGACUUUAUCUGCAUAUCGGAUAAUGCCUAUAUCAGAGAACAAGUUCUGACAAUGGAAAAAGCUAUCUUGGGAAAGUUGGAAUGGUAUUUAACUGUUCCUACGCCAUAUGUCUUCCUUGUUAGAUACAUCAAAGCCUCAGUUCUAUCUGAUAAGGAGGUACCAAUAUACAUAACUUUUCCAGAAUUUGCUUUUUAAAUCUGCCUUUCAGUUAGAUUUGUCCCAGAUUAGUUGAUCCUAUCUUACUAAUGUAGAUGGAGAAUAUGGUGUUUUUCCUGGCUGAACUUGGUCUGAUGCAAUAUCCAGUGGUCAUCAUGUUCUGCCCCUCGUUGAUUGCUGCAUCGGCUGUGUAUGCUGCACGUUGUACCCUUGAUAAGAGCCCAUUUUGGACUGAAACUCUAAAGCAUCACACAGGAUACAGUGAAGACAUGUUAAUGUAAUUUUUGCUUGCAUUUAAUUUAUGACCCCUAUGCACCAAAUUUGCACAAUAUUUAUUUGGUAGCAGAGCACAACAACAAACUCUUCUUACUUUUUAAUGUGACAGGGAUUGUGCAAAGCUUCUGGUUAAAUUUCAUUCUGCAUCUGCUGAAAGCAAGCUCAAGGCUGUGCAAAAGAAAUUCUCAGGUGCAGAUCGCGGAGCUGUGGCUCUUCUUACCCCAGCAAAAAGUCUUUUGGCACAAUCAUCCUGAAGAACAUUUUCUCCCAUAUACUUUUUUGGGUGAAAGAGUUGUAAAGAUGCAUACGAAAUGCUUUGAUUUUAAGUCAGUGUUAUUGGAUUUUUUUUAUAUGUAAGGAAUGCUAACUUUGAUUAUCUAGAAAAUUAAAUGUUUAUUGGAAUGAUCUGUUUAUCAACUAGAUUAUGCAAAAAGCGAAUUUGGCUUGGCUUUGAGUUGAAUUUGAGCGAAAAACAAACCAGAAAAAAG
This 2680-nucleotide unclassified non-coding RNA is filed under the name Hevea brasiliensis (rubber tree). Lineage: Eukaryota; Viridiplantae; Streptophyta; Magnoliopsida; Malpighiales; Euphorbiaceae. The record is from RNAcentral.